This 253-nucleotide ribosomal RNA is filed under the name uncultured bacterium. Its description in RNAcentral is "partial 16S ribosomal RNA". It matches the Rfam family "Bacterial small subunit ribosomal RNA", at positions 524 to 776 of the family's 1533-position model. The record is from RNAcentral.
UACGGAGGGUGCAAGCGUUAUCCGGAAUCAUUGGGUUUAAAGGGUCCGCAGGCGGAUUUAUAAGUCAGUGGUGAAAUCUCUCGGCUCAACCGAGAAACUGCCAUUGAUACUGUAAGUUUUGAAUUCGGUCGAAGUGGGCGGAAUAUGACAUGUAGCGGUGAAAUGCUUAGAUAUGUCAUAGAACACCGAUAGCGAAGGCAGCUCACUAGGCCUGGACUGACACUCAGGGACGAAAGCUAGGGGAGCGAAUGGG